AGUGAACGCUGGCGGUAGGCCUAACACAUGCAAGUCGAACGGCAGCACAGUAAGAGCUUGCUCUUACGGGUGGCGAGUGGCGGACGGGUGAGGAAUACAUCGGAAUCUACUUUUUCGUGGGGGAUAACGUAGGGAAACUUACGCUAAUACCGCAUACGACCUACGGGUGAAAGCAGGGGAUCUUCGGACCUUGCGCGAUUGAAUGAGCCGAUGUCGGAUUAGCUAGUUGGCGGGGUAAAGGCCCACCAAGGCGACGAUCCGUAGCUGGUCUGAGAGGAUGAUCAGCCACACUGGAACUGGGACACGGUCCAGACUCCUACGGGAGGCAGCAGUGGGGAAUAUUGGACAAUGGGCGCAAGCCUGAUCCAGCCAUACCGCGUGGGUGAAGAAGGCCUUCGGGUUGUAAAGCCCUUUUGUUGGGAAAGAAAAGCAGCAGGUUAAUACCCCGCUGUUCUGACGGUACCCAAAGAAUAAGCACCGUCUAACUUCGUG
Molecule: ribosomal RNA, 492 nt
Filed under: uncultured bacterium
Lineage: Bacteria
Description: partial 16S ribosomal RNA
Rfam family: Bacterial small subunit ribosomal RNA
Source: RNAcentral